ACAUGUAGGGCUGGAUGGGGUGUUCCAGGAGGGCCAGCACCAGUGGUGGGAGGGAUGGUGGGCCCUCGGCAGGACUGCUCCACUUCUGGUGUCCGCCUCUCCUCCGGUCUCCCCUGUGGCUCCAAGAAGCUGUAGCACACACAGGGGCCAUGCUCUGGUGAAACUCUCUCAGCAGACAACUAAACAAGGUAGAGAGCAACUGAGAGGCCUCACAGCCAUGGGUGAGCAAAGCAUGUGAAGGCUUCUGCUGGUAGAAUGGCAGGAUGAGUUUGUUCCAAUGGCCAUAAUGGCGGCUGAUGCAGCCGCUGAGCAGGGAUUACAGCUUGAUUGGACAUCAAAGAUUCCAAGAUCAACUGCAGGAUCUCAGGCCACUACCCUGGUGCUUGGGUCGGGGUGUUGAGGCAGAGGACAGAUGAGAGGAGAAAGCCUGCGGUGGGUGAGGCAGCAGAGAGGGUGCUGGGGAGGGUCUGGGAAGGGCAGAUUGUGGGGAGUGGCCCCUCCAGUGUUUGGCCAAGAGAGCCUCUCUCGAGGUCAUGCCUGUGCUGAUUAUGGGGGUGUGGGUCACAGGUUCCCUGCCUUGUUCUCUUCCCAAUCUGACCACACAACAGCAUCUAGAACCAGGCAGGAAGAGGUUUUGACGGCAAUUAUCAGAGCCUGGACUCCUGCCCUGUGCCUGCUGGGAUGGGCUCUGUCUCCCACCCCUAGAGAAGGGCCUGGAAGCCCUGGGCCUUGGGAAUUCAAGGAGGGAGCUGGGGUUCUGAGAGGGAGUCAGUCUGGAGGUGGAAAACUGGGGCCUAGGGGACAAUAAGCCCCCACUUAUCGUCCCCACCCCUCUCUCUCCCACAGCCUUCUCUUCCCAGGAGAACAGCUCUUGGCCCCUCAUGCUCACCCUGCUCCAGGGAGCCCUCAUGGGGGCCGGAUUUCUACUCAGUUAUGGCCUCACCUGGCUCUAUUACACCUGGAAGCUUCUAGGGAGGAAGCAGUCACCAGCUCCAGAAGCUGCCCAGUGCUCUGUGUGAAGGCUCUCCUGUCCUUGACCCCAGCCCAGACCUGCCUCCUGCCCCUUCCCAUCAAAGGCCCCACUUCUGCCCUCAGGGACACAGCAAGUCAAGCCUGACCCACCAGCUAGAGGACCGACCUCCAGGCCUAGAAGACAGUCCUCAGGUCUCCCCUGGGUAUCCUCUUCUCCCUCUGAACAGCCCUGGGUCCUUCCCCUGAUUGGCCUAUGGCAUGAUCUCAUAGAUGGAGGGAGGAGGUCUGUAUUCCAGGACCUGCUCCCCAGGACAUGCCUCCUUGUCUGAUGAGUUUCCUCAUCUGAAAUAAGAAGGUUAGACUCGAUACUCUCUGUUCCUGCCAUCAGGGUGCUAGCACCCAAGGAAUGAGGGUCACCAGGUUUCUGAGCCAUGCCUCCCCCACGCCAGAUGCCUUAAGUGAAUAUGUGUCUGCUACUAGGGUCCAGGGAGGGGGAGGUCUUGCUCCUGCCAAGGCCCUACCCGCUCUUCUCCUUUACCAUCAGAUGGUGACAGGCCUCUCCUGUUCUGCAGGUCUUUGUAAAGUGAAUAAAUAUAAAGUUAUA
Vombatus ursinus (common wombat) is the source of this 1576-nucleotide long non-coding RNA. RefSeq lists it as uncharacterized. Lineage: Eukaryota; Metazoa; Chordata; Mammalia; Diprotodontia; Vombatidae. The record is from RefSeq and is a predicted model, not a curated record. The transcript has 2 exons.